RNAcentral lists this non-coding RNA (25 nucleotides) under Cricetulus griseus (Chinese hamster). The record is from RNAcentral. Lineage: Eukaryota; Metazoa; Chordata; Mammalia; Rodentia; Cricetidae.
GCAGAAAAACCAGCUUUGAACUCUG